Caretta caretta (loggerhead turtle) is the source of this 1805-nucleotide non-coding RNA. The record is from RefSeq and is a predicted model, not a curated record. Lineage: Eukaryota; Metazoa; Chordata; Testudines; Cheloniidae.
UGAGGGGAGUGGGUAGCAUGAUAAAAGAUAUGCAAGACUGGUAUCCCUAUAGUGACAAUUAGUGUAUUGACUGCAGUAAUGGCAUGGCACAUACCUGUGGAGGGCAUGUACCAUUAGGUGGUUUAAUUUUUCAUAUCCUAGUUUUUGUGGUUGUAUGUCAGUCACAUUAUGUGUAGCAAUCUUGCCUGUUUUCACAGAGUUGUGCACUAAUUUCCUAGGUUUUUUUAAUCUUUAACUUACUCCACAAUGGUAACAAGCUAGUGAAACUGGAUUAUAACAUCAUUCCAAUGAUGCUGAGCUACACUAAAGAUGCAUGCUCAAAGCAAAGAAAGUAAAAAGCAUUUAGCUACAUAAAUUGCUCAAUUAUCCCCAUUUGUGAAAUGGAACACUGAGGGACCGGGUACAUUAAGCAAAUCUAUUGAACUCAUGUAACAGGUCUGUGGCUGAGCUAGGAAUUAAACCUAAAUCUCUGAGUCUCAGGUCAGUGCUCUAUCCACUGAACCAUCUUUCCUACCCUUGAACACACAAAUGCAAUUGCAGUUAAUGGAAGCUGUGGAUGCACAAAGGUUCGGAGGGAAGGGCAGGGGAAGAAAAUGAGCUUAUGUCUUCCUGAAUUCAUACAAGUUUUUCUUUACUUACACUCAGUAAACACUGAGAUCUAUUAAGGUUUGUCUACACAUGGCAUUAUUCAGGAAUAGCCCUUAAAGGAAAAAGGAGUUAGCCUAUGUCCUUUUGUAUGAAGGUGGCCUGAAAGGAUUUUUUUUUUUGUGAAAACCUAACUACUUAUUUUACAUUAAAGAUGCAGAUCUUGUCUGGCCCAGAAGACUAUGAUGGAGAGCCAGUGAAAUGCUACCACCGUAAAACCUGAGUGAAAACUAAGCAAUGGAGAGAUGAGAGGAUUUAGCGGGGGAGAAGGGAGGGAUAUUAACACCUAAACUUCAAUGACUGAUCCAGCGAGUUGCGAACACAUUUUGGGAGAAUCUUCUAAAUCGGCAAUGGACACUGACCAGAAAAGUCCUUUGCAAAGCACGCUGCUUCAUGGUCAUGGGAACACAGCCCGAUAUUGAUUAAUCUCUGAUGCGAGGCAAGCAAAAAUAAUAGAUUUUAGCGAGACUACCACUAAUGACCACACAUACCAGCAAGCAAUGAAGAAGCCAGCAACACUGGAAAUUUACCACAUCAGUGACCAGUGCAGAGCGCAGAUUAAACAGCUCAAGACAGAAUACUGGAAAACCAGGAACCAGAAGCCCAUCUUGGACAACCUACUGACAUUAUACCCGUUUUAUGAUGUGUUUGACCAAGUGCUGGGCACUGCACUGAGUGCAGCGUCAACAACAGUGCACGAUGACCUAAUCAGGCGCGAUGGCGAUCUAGUGCCCUUGGAAUCUAGCAUUGGAACUGUGGGGAACCAGCAGCAGUCACCAGCUGAGACUAGUGAAGCGACCCUUCUGUGACACUGGUCCCAAAGGAGAUUUUGCUGUAGGAGCUGCAGUACAUUCUGGAGCUGUACUUGGAAGAGCUUUUUGAUCCCCCCUCCCCCCCACACCCUGAGGAAAGAACGGCUGUGGAACUGGCAGCAAAAAUGAAACAGGCAGCAGCUGCCUGGAGCUUGCCCCUUGACCUCUACAAGUUACAGUAACUCCACAGCAUGCCCACAGUGCGGCAGAAGCCUGGGUCAACGUAACUUCAGACCAUUCCUAGAGGAGCAUUUGUGAUGAACUUAUGGUUGAAGUACUGGAAAGGGCUAACAAGCAGCUUCAAUACCAAAGACAGAGGGACUUAUGGCUAGAGGACGGGCAUGGCAA